GCUUGAGAGUAAUACAAAGGUUCAGAUUCCAAAGUAGAAGAAGAGGAACCAGAAAAGGCAGGGAGUUGGCAGACAUAAUCCUUAAGAUAGGAAGGAAGAUUAUGCUAUCUAGUGGACUUUCUAGAAGCAGGAAGAGGGUGUGAAGAAGGUACAACAGGGGGAGAGAUAUCGGGAUUGAAGGAAGGAAGAGAAGAUGGAGCAGCAUCAGUAAAAUCAGGAACAGGAGAAUCAAAUGUUGGAGCAGAUGUGGGGGAAGGAGGGAAGGAAGCAUGUAUAGGAAAAUCUGUGUCAGUGCUCAGCAUGAGGAAUAGAAGGAAAGGAUGAAGGAGAAGGGUGAGCAGAAGAAGGUUUAUUCUUAAAAGGAAAACAAGUUUCAUGGAAGACAACAUCCCUGGAGACAAAACACUUCUUGGAAACCGUGAGCAGAAGAAGGUUUAUUCUUAAAAGGAAAACAAGUUUCAUGGAAUAGAACAUCCCUGGAGACAAAACAUUUCUUGGAAACCAGAUCAUACAGUUUAU
This 519-nucleotide long non-coding RNA is filed under the name Nicotiana benthamiana. RNAcentral's name for it is "long non-coding RNA (NBEN_LNC004918)". Lineage: Eukaryota; Viridiplantae; Streptophyta; Magnoliopsida; Solanales; Solanaceae. The record is from RNAcentral.